AGAGUUUGAUCAUGGCUCAGAACGAACGCUGGCGGCAUGCCUAACACAUGCAAGUCGAACGAGGGCUUCGGCCCUAGUGGCGCACGGGUGAGUAACGCGUGGGAACCUGCCCUGUGGUACGGAAUAACUCCGGGAAACUGGAGCUAAUACCGUAUGCGUCCUGCGGGACAAAGAUUCAUCGCCAUGGGAGGGGCCCGCGUAGGAUUAGCUUGUUGGCGGGGUAACGGCCCACCAAGGCUUCGAUCCUUAGCUGGUCUGAGAGGAUGAUCAGCCACACUGGGACUGAGACACGGCCCAGACUCCUACGGGAGGCAGCAGUGGGGAAUAUUGGACAAUGGGCGCAAGCCUGAUCCAGCAAUGCCGCGUGAGUGAUGAAGGCCUUCGGGUUGUAAAGCUCUUUCGCACGCGACGAUGAUGACGGUAGCGUGAGAAGAAGCCCCGGCUAACUUCAUGCCAGCAGCCGCGGUAAUACGAAGGGGGCUAGCGUUGUUCGGAAUUACUGGGCGUAAAGGGCGCGUAGGCGGUGUGUCAAGUCAGGCGUGAAAGCCCCGGGCUCAACCUGGGAACCGCGCUUGAGACUGGCACGCUCGAGUUCGGGAGAGGAUGGUGGAAUUCCCAGUGUAGAGGUGAAAUUCGUAGAUAUUGGGAAGAACACCGAUGGCGAAGGCAGCCAUCUGGACCGACACUGACGCUGAGGCGCGAAAGCGUGGGGAGCAAACAGGAUUAGAUACCCUAGUAGUCC
RNAcentral lists this ribosomal RNA (742 nucleotides) under uncultured bacterium. RNAcentral's name for it is "bacterial SSU rRNA". It matches the Rfam family "Bacterial small subunit ribosomal RNA", at positions 8 to 796 of the family's 1533-position model. The record is from RNAcentral.